UUAUGUUUAUUGAAUUACUUCUAUUUGUUAGAAAUGAUUGGUCUGCUGAAGGUCAAGUAACCCUUUUGAAUUUUGCCCUCAGAGCAUGCUUGGGGUGCAGUAUGUGUUUACCUGCACUCCCAGUUGUUCAAUUCAAUUAAAUCAAAGUACCCAUUUUUAUUGAGAGUUUGGUGGGGCUUCUAUCUCUGCGUUUCUUGUUAUUGCCUUGUCACAAAUGUUAUUCUUUAUAGAAAAUGUGUUAAUUUACCAGUUCAAUAUUCUGUUUCCGAUGUUUUAUCUGUUGUUUCGGGUUUCUUCCUCUGUUAUGUGCGGGUUUUUGGAAAGAGUGAGGGUGAGGAUACCCUUCUUGAAGAACCUCUCUUGAAUGGUGAUUCUAGUGCUAGCAAUGAACCAGAGUCAAGCAAGUCCAAGGGGGUUGAAACUGUAACCCCUUAUUCAAGUGCUGGAUUUUUCAGCAAUCUUACCCUCUCCUGGCUGGGUUCUCUAAUUGCCCUUGGCAAUGAGAAGACUUUAGACAUUGAGGAUGUUCCUCAACUUGCUCCCAGUGAUAGCGUAGUUGGGGCUUUCCUGGCAUUUAGAAAUAAGCUUGAGGCAGAGUGUGGUACAGUUAACAAAGUGACCACAUUGAAGCUAGUGAAGGCAUUGAUCUUCUUCGCAUGGAAAGAGAUUCUUUUGACAGCCAUAUACGUGAUGAUGAACACAUUGGCUUCCUAUGUCGGGCCAUAUCUUAUUGACAAUUUUGUUCAGUACCUCAAUGGGGGCCAACAUAACAAGAGUGAGGGCUAUGUUCUAGUUUCAGUAAUUUUUGCUGCAAAACUUGUGGAAUGUAUCUCAAAAAGGCAUUGGUCCUUUAGGUUGCAGCUGGUUGGAAUUAGGGUCCGAUCAGUAUUGGUUACAAUGAUCUAUAAUAACGGUAUGACCCUUUCAUGCCAGUCAAAGCAGGGCCACACUAGUGGGGAGAUCAUCAAUCUUAUGACAGUUGAUGCUGAGAGGAUAGGGGACUUUGGUUGGUAUAUGCAUGAUCCAUGGAUGGUCCCUCUUCAUGUUGCUAUCACAUUGUUAAUUUUAUAUAAAAAUCUUGGGCUUGCUUCAAUUGCAGCUUUUUUUGCAACUGUACUUGUUAUGUUGGCUAAUUAUCCAUUGGGAAAAUUACAAGUGAAGUUUCAGGACAAGAUAAUGGAGUCAAAAGACAGAAGGAUGAAUGCAACAUCUGAGAUUUUAAGGAACAUGGGGAUUCUCAAGCUUCAAGGAUGGGAGAUGAAGUUUCUAUCUAAAAUUUCCAAGCUCAGGGAGACCGAGGCAGGAUGGUUAAAAAGGUAUGUUUACACUAUGGUGAUGACUACAUUUGUCUUUUGGGGUGCCCCCACAUUUGUGUCUGUGGCCACUUUUGGUGCUUGUACGCUCUUUGGAAUCCCACUUGAGUCGGGGAAGAUCUUAUCUGCACUUGCAACGUUUAGGAUUCUUCAGGAGCCUAUCUUUUAUCUUCCCGAGGGUAUCUCAAUGAUUGCUCAAAGUAAAGUGUCCCUUGAUCGAAUUGUAUCAUUCCUUCAUCUUGAUGACUUGCAGUUUGACACAAUAGAGAAGCUUCCAAGAGAUAGUUCUGAUACAGAAAUAGAGAUUAUUGAUGGGAAUUUCUCUUGGAAUUUGUCUUCCUCUAAUCCUACAUUGAAAGAUAUAAAUUUGAAAGUGCAACAUGGCAUGAGGGUUGCUGUUUGUGGAAUUGUUGGUUCAGGAAAGUCUAGUUUGUUUUCUUGUAUCCCUGGAGAAAUUCCUAGGAUAUUUGGCACUGCUAAGUUGUGUGGGACAAAGGCCUAUGUUGCUCAGUCACCAUGGAUACAAAGUGGUAAGAUUGAAGAAAACAUAUUUUUUGGUAAGGAGAUGGAAAGAAUGAGGUAUGAAAGGGUCCUUCAAGCAUGUUCAUUGAAGAAGGAUCUGGAAAUUCUCUCAUUUGGGGAUCAGACAGUUAUAGGUGAGCGAGGAAUCAAUUUGAGUGGUAGGCAGAAGCAAAGAAUCCAAAUUGCACGUGCUCUAUACCAAAAUACUGAUAUCUAUUUAUUUGAUGAUCCUUUUAGUGCUGUGGAUGCUCAUACAGGAUCCCACCUCUUUAGGUUGCUGCUUGGCUCUUUUGAAAUGGAUUUAUUUGAUACCUAUAUGGCAGAAAUGUUUGCUGGGCCUCUUCGAGUUCAAAAACUUGUGGAUGGAUUGUUCAUUUGGUGGCCAGAUCAUUCUUGGCCACCAAAUGGAGAAGUGGAUAUUUGUGAUCUGCAGGUAAGGUAUGCCCCACAUAUGCCACUUGUUUUGCGAGGUCUCUCAUGUACUUUUCCUGGUGGAAUGAAAACUGACAUUGUAGGGAGAACGGGCAGUGGUAAAUCAACUCUCAUACAAGCACUUUUCCGGAUUGUUGAACCUGCUGCUGGUCAGAUAAUUAUAGAUGGAAUCAACAUCUCCUUGAUUGGACUGCAUGAUUUGCGAUCUAGACUAAGCAUUAUCCCUCAGGAACCAACAAUGUUUGAAGGGAAUAUAAGAAGCAACCUGGAUCCACUCGAUGAGCAUGCAGAUGGACAAAUUUGGGAGGCUUUGGAUAAGUGUCAACUUGGAGAUAAAGUUAGGGAGAAAGAAGGAAAACUAGAUUCCACAGUUAGUGAGAACGGAGAGAAUUGGAGUGUGGGUCAGAGGCAGCUGGUCUGCCUUGGCCGUGUGCUGCUCAAGAAAAGUAAGGUAUUGGUGCUUGAUGAAGCUACUGCAUCUGUUGAUACUGCUACGUAUAAUCUGAUUCAGCAAACCCUCAGUCAACAUUUUUCCAACUGAACAAUCAUUACCAUUGCACAUCGAAUAACUUCCGUUCUUCAUAGUGACAUGGUUCUGCUACUAAAUAAUGGGCUUAUAGAGGAAUAUGAUUCUCCAAAUAGAUUGCUAGAAAACAAGUCAUCGUCUUUUGCUCAACUUGUAGCGGAGUACACGGUAAGGUCAAAUUCUAGUUUUGGGUAAGUUAAGCGACUAAAGCUUAUUUGGACCUUGCUGAACGAUAUUGAUGAGAUUUUGUUGAUCUGGCUAGUGGUUUCUGUGUGUUGUAGGCAUAUUGUACGAACAAAUGGUGUACACUACUAAAUAUCAGAUAAUAAAAAAUAGUGAUAGUGUAGGUUGUAACUUU
RNA transcript from Quercus lobata, 3151 nucleotides. It is a transcript of the gene named ABC transporter C family member 3-like, with no coding region annotated. The transcript is spliced from 7 exons. The record is from RefSeq and is a predicted model, not a curated record. Lineage: Eukaryota; Viridiplantae; Streptophyta; Magnoliopsida; Fagales; Fagaceae.